This is a long non-coding RNA of Etheostoma cragini (Arkansas darter), 170 nucleotides long. RefSeq lists it as uncharacterized. Lineage: Eukaryota; Metazoa; Chordata; Actinopteri; Perciformes; Percidae. The record is from RefSeq and is a predicted model, not a curated record. The transcript is spliced from 3 exons.
UUUUAUGGGGCUUUUCCGCCUUUAAUGGACAAGACUGCUAGGUGAGAAAGGGGGGAAAAGAGAGGGGGAAGACAUGCAGGAAAAGGUCAAAGGUUGGACUUGAACCCUGGACGUCUGCAUCGACGCAUAAACCUCUAAGUGCAUACAUACACCCGCUCUACCAACUGAGC